Molecule: long non-coding RNA, 684 nt
Filed under: Phoenix dactylifera (date palm)
Lineage: Eukaryota; Viridiplantae; Streptophyta; Magnoliopsida; Arecales; Arecaceae
Description: long non-coding RNA (PDAC_LNC001393)
Source: RNAcentral
AAGGAAAGGAUGGUCAUCGCCUUGGCGCUCAGCAUCCCGUAUACAAUCGAUCACCAUAGCGGAGUCUCUUUCCAGGAUGAUAUCACCAGCUCCUAAAAUAAUCUUCGCAUAAAUGAUGCCCUUCCAUGUCGUCGUGAGCUCCGCUCCUAUGACUAUCGUGUCACAAGUGCAGCGCCCUCUUACAGUAAUAAAUCUGGAGUUGUGAUCAUGGAUCACAAAGCUCGUCCCUUCUCUGUCUCCUUCUGGCGGCAAAGACUUUGAGUAGGGUGGCAGUGAUCCAAUAGGGAAGAGGGAGGUCCCAAGAUCAAAGAAGCAGGGUGGGGGAUGUUGGCAGUUUGGCACGUCAUGCAUGCCCCCAAAAGCUCCUGCCCGAUCUUUACCACCCUUGGAGGUGGCGGCAGCAACGAGGGCCUCGCUGAUGGCAGCACUCACGUCUUCUCUACUCUAGAUUUCGUUGGGGGUAUCGCCGAUUCCUCCUUUUCGUUCUAGAGAUAGAGAUGGCAACCCACCCCCUCGAAGGCUAUGAGAGGAUGACGGCGCUGCGUGGAGGAGGCCGCUCGGAGUAGAAUUUAGGUAUGGAUGGUAUGGGACUCAUAGUGCAAGCAUCAAAGGCAUCCCAUUUGACGGCUUUGCACAUCUCAAAGGCCCUCAAAGGGCAUGGUGGGGACUCUCUUAAUCUCAUGG